GUGCUUUCUUUGGCAGCACAUAUACCAAAAUUGGAACCAUACAGAAAAGAUUAGCGAGACCCCUGUGAAAGAAAGCCAGGCAAAUUUGCAAAGUGUUCCAUACUUUU
Small nuclear RNA from Marmota marmota marmota (Alpine marmot), 107 nucleotides. Lineage: Eukaryota; Metazoa; Chordata; Mammalia; Rodentia; Sciuridae. The record is from Ensembl.